Molecule: ribosomal RNA, 528 nt
Filed under: Triticum aestivum (bread wheat)
Lineage: Eukaryota; Viridiplantae; Streptophyta; Magnoliopsida; Poales; Poaceae
Description: partial small subunit ribosomal RNA
Source: RNAcentral
AUGCUCGGCCAGCUCGGCCUCCGCGAGCCAGAGCCAGAGCGGCGCACCACGAACCACCAUCCCUCCCCGUCGUCGCGCAUGGAGCUCCACACCAUGGCCCUCUCGGAGACGAUCCACGAGAUGAGCGCGUUCCCCGACGCGCGGCACGAGCUCUACUCCUGGGAGUUCUACAAGGCCUACCUCCGGUCGCCCCGACCCAUCGACCCGCCGUCGGCGACGAGCGCGGUGCCUCUCCACGUGGCGCAGCUGGGGGCGGUGAUGAGGGGCCGCUACCCUUACCUCGCGGACGAGGUGGCGAGGCUGGCGAGGUCCAAGACGGCGGAGCAGCGUGCGGCGCUAGGCAGGAGGUUGCUGCAGAUGGACGCUGCCGCGCUGGGCUCGCUGGAAGAUCGGUUGAGGGAAGCCACGCGGGCCGGGAAGGAGGCCAUGCUGGCCAAGCUGCAGUCGGAGGUGCGCUACGCCAGGUCCAGGAUUCAGGCGGAGGCCAUGGUCGAGACCAUCAAGUCUGCCGCUCCCAACCAGAAAUGA